UCCUGGCUUAGGAUGAACGCUAGCUACAGGCUUAACACAUGCAAGUCGAGGGCAGCAUGGAAGUUGCUUGCAACUUCUGAGUGGCGACCGGCGCACGGGUGAGUAACGCGUAUCCAACCUUCCCCAUAGUAGAGGAUAGCCCGGCGAAAGUCGGAUUUAAUACUCUAUGUUCUUCGAAGAGGACAUCUGAUUUUGAAGCAAAGAUUUAUCGCUAUGGGAUGGGGAUGCGUCUGAUUAGCUUGAUGGCAGGGUAACGGCCCACCAUGGCGACGAUCAGUAGGGUUCUGAGAGGAAGGUCCCCCACAUUGGUACUGAGACACGGACCAAACUCCUACGGGAGGCAGCAGUGAGGAAUAUUGGUCAAUGGACGAGAGUCUGAACCAGCCAAGUAGCGUGCAGGACGACUGCCCUAUGGGUUGUAAACUGCUUUUAUAGGGGAAUAAAGUCCACUACGUGUAGUGGUUUGUAUGUACCCUAUGAAUAAGGACCGGCUAAUUCCGUGCCAGCAGCUGC
This 513-nucleotide ribosomal RNA is filed under the name uncultured bacterium. RNAcentral describes it as "bacterial SSU rRNA". It matches the Rfam family "Bacterial small subunit ribosomal RNA", at positions 17 to 518 of the family's 1533-position model. The record is from RNAcentral.